This 253-nucleotide ribosomal RNA is filed under the name Lachnospira pectinoschiza. RNAcentral's name for it is "partial 16S ribosomal RNA". It matches the Rfam family "Bacterial small subunit ribosomal RNA", at positions 524 to 776 of the family's 1533-position model. The record is from RNAcentral. Lineage: Bacteria; Bacillati; Bacillota; Clostridia; Lachnospirales; Lachnospiraceae.
UACGUAUGGAGCAAGCGUUAUCCGGAUUUACUGGGUGUAAAGGGAGUGUAGGUGGCAUCACAAGUCAGAAGUGAAAGCCCGGGGCUCAACCCUGGGACUGCUUUUGAAACUGUGGAGCUGGAGUGCAGGAGAGGCAAGUGGAAUUCCUAGUGUAGCGGUGAAAUGCGUAGAUAUUAGGAGGAACACCAGUGGCGAAGGCGGCUUGCUGGACUGUAACUGACACUGAGGCUCGAAAGCGUGGGGAGCAAACAGG